GAUGAACGCUGGCGGCGUGCCUAACUCAUGCAAGUCGAACGAAGCAAUUAAGAUGAAGUUUUCGGAUGGAAUCUUGAUUGACUGAGUGGCGGACGGGUGAGUAACGCGUGGAUAACCUGCCUCACACUGGGGGAUAACAGUUAAAAAUGACUGCUAAUACCGCAUAAGCGCACAGUGCCGCAUGGCAGUGUGUGAAAAACUCCGGUGGUGUGAGAUGGAUCCGCGUCUGAUUAGCCAGUUGGCGGGGUAACGGCCCACCAAAGCGACGAUCAGUAGCCGACCUGAGAGGGUGACCGGCCACAUUGGGACUGAGACACGGCCCAAACUCCUACGGGAGGCAGCAGUGGGGAAUAUUGCACAAUGGGCGAAAGCCUGAUGCAGCGACGCCGCGUGAGUGAAGAAGUAUUUCGGUAUGUAAAGCUCUAUCAGCAGGGAAGAAAAUGACGGUACCUGACUAAGAAGCCCCGGCUAACUACGUGCCAGCAGCCGCGGUAAUACGUAGGGGGCAAGCGUUAUCCGGAUUUACUGGGUGUAAAGGGAGCGUAGACGGCGAAGCAAGUCUGAAGUGAAAACCCAGGGCUCAACCCUGGGACUGCUUUGGAAACUGUUUUGCUAGAGUGUCGGAGAGGUAAGUGGAAUUCCUAGUGUAGCGGUGAAAUGCGUAGAUAUUAGGAGGAACACCAGUGGCGAAGGCGGCUUACUGGACGAUAACUGACGUUGAGGCUCGAAAGCGUGGGGAGCAAACAGGAUUAGAUACCCUGGUAGUCCACGCCGUAAACGAUGAAUGCUAGGUGUUGGGGGGCAAAGCCCUUCGGUGCCGCCGCAAACGCAGUAAGCAUUCCACCUGGGGAGUACGUUCGCAAGAAUGAAACUCAAAGGAAUUGACGAGGACCCGCACAAGCGGUGGAGCAUGUGGUUUAAUACGAAGCAACGCGAAGAACCUUACCAAGUCUUGACAUCCCCCUGACGGGCCGGUAACGCGGCCUUUCCUUCGGGACAGGGGAGACAGGUGGUGCAUGGUUGUCGUCAGCUUGUGUCGUGAGAUGUUGGGUUAAGUCCCGCAACGAGCGCAACCCUUAUCCUUAGUAGCCAGCAGGUAGAGCCGGGCACUCUAGGGAGACUGCCAGGGAUAACCUGGAGGAAGGUGGGGAUGACGUCAAAUCAUCAUGCCCCUUAUGAUUUGGGCUACACACGUGCUACAAUGGCGUAAACAAAGGGAAGCGAGACAGUGAUGUGGAGCAAAUCCCAAAAAUAACGUCCCAGUUCGGACUGUAGUCUGCAACCCGACUACACGAAGCUGGAAUCGCUAGUAAUCGCGAAUCAGAAUGUCGCGGUGAAUACGUUCCCGGGUCUUGUACUCACCGCCCGU
This 1369-nucleotide ribosomal RNA is filed under the name uncultured organism. Its description in RNAcentral is "SSU rRNA". It matches the Rfam family "Bacterial small subunit ribosomal RNA", at positions 28 to 1397 of the family's 1533-position model. The record is from RNAcentral.